UCAAAAGAUGGAACCUUUGUGUAUUUCUCAGAUUUCCCAGACCAAAUCACAUUAGUCUUGCAAUACUUCUUCGCUUCCUUGACAGCUUUAUCACCCCACGAACCAGUAACAACGAAAUCGACUGUAUCAUCCGAUUUGCAGAGAUUGAGAGGUAAAGCAGCGAAUUGAGUAGUGGCACCACCUUGUAAGAACAAAACGGAAUAUUCCUGAGGAAUCUCGAGAAGCUGACGAAGAUCCGAUUCAGCUUUUUGUAUAAUCGAGAGAAACUCUUUGCCUCUGUGACUCAUCUCCAUCACACUCAUGCCAGAUCCACGCCAGUUGUAUAG
Molecule: long non-coding RNA, 326 nt
Organism: Arabidopsis thaliana (thale cress)
Lineage: Eukaryota; Viridiplantae; Streptophyta; Magnoliopsida; Brassicales; Brassicaceae
Product: other RNA
Exons: 1
Source: RefSeq